RNAcentral lists this ribosomal RNA (894 nucleotides) under uncultured crenarchaeote VAL11. RNAcentral describes it as "bacterial SSU rRNA". It matches the Rfam family "Archaeal small subunit ribosomal RNA", at positions 1 to 872 of the family's 1478-position model. The record is from RNAcentral. Lineage: Archaea; Thermoproteati; Thermoproteota.
UUCCGGUUGAUCCUGCCGGACCCUACUGCUAUCGGGAUGGGACUAAGACAUGCUAGUCGAGCGCCUCCUAGCCACGCUGGAGGCGCGGCACACAGCUCAGUAACACGUGGCUAACCUGCCCUUGGGACGGAAACAUCCCCGGGAAACUGGGGCCAAUUUCCGAUAGGCGAAGGUCUCUGGAACGAGUCUUCACCCAAAAGACGUUUGGGGCAUGCUCCUAGACGUUGCCCAAGGAUGGGGCCGCGGCCGAUCAGGUUGUUGGUGAGGUAACGGCUCACCAAGCCUAUUACCGGUACGGGCCGUGGGAGCGGUAGCCCGGAGAUGGGCACUGAGACAAGGGCCCAGGCCCUACGGGGCGCAGCAGUCGCGAAAACUUCGCAAUAAGCGAAAGCUUGACGAGGCCAUCCCGAGUGCCAUCUGCUGAGGAUGGCUUUUACCUAGUAUAGAUAGCUAGGGGAAUAAGGAGAGGGCAAGUCUGGUGUCAGCCGCCGCGGUAAUACCAGCUCUCCGAGUUGUGGGGACAUUUAUUGGGCCUAAAGCAUCCGUAGCCGGCUGAACAAGUCCCCUGUUAAAUCCAGCGACGAAUCGUUGGCCUGCGGGGGAUACUGUUCGGCUAGGGGGCGGGAGAGGCCGUCGGUAUUCUUGGGGUAGGGGUGAAAUCCUAUAAUCCCAGGAGGACCACCAGUGGCGAAGGCUGUCGGCUAGAACGCGCCCGACGGUGAGGGAUGAAAGCUGGGGGAGCGAACCGGAUUAGAUACCCGGGUAGUCCCAGCUGUAAACGAUGCAGGCUAGGUGUUAGGGCGGCUACGUGCCGCUCUAGUGCCGCAGGGAAGCUGUUAAGCCUGCCGCCUGGGGAGUACGGCCGCAAGGCUGAAACUUAAAGGAAUUGGCGGG